UCAUUGGAGCCAGCAGCAGAGUGCGUCCUACACAGGUAUCUGAGAUACCAAAAGGUCUACAAGCACCACCAAUCUCUCGGCAUGUCAGAUUGACUUCAGCCUCAACACCUCACCCGAGCCCUUAGGACCAACAUCUCGAUGCUGAGUGCUGCCAGAAGUCGGAAACGCAUCCUUCUGUUCUAACGGAGGCAAACGAUCACUUGCCCGUCGGUUGUAACUUAUCUCCUCCAGGUGUGGCGGCCAUAAAGCAGACGGAUGGACCCAUCACGUUAUCACUCGUGAGUUUUUAAAGUCGAAGCCCGUAUUGGGAAUCGUUAACAAGCGUACCCUUUACAUUGCACGACUGACGACAUGCUCCUUUGUAAAUCGUUUCCGGUAAACCACGAAAUUCCCAUCCCAGAAACAGUCCACAGGUCAGUAGCAAGGAGAUGUGGUUCCCAGAAUAAUAUAAAUGUAAAGGUGCAGUGAUUGCCUUUUUCCAUGAUUUUGCACUACCAUGGUGCAAUGCUAAAGCUGAAGCUAAAGUUGUGUGCUCUAUCUAUCAAGCUAUUAAGUGAUCAUGUAUUUUGCACUAUUGUCAUAUUUGUCGAAAGGCACAAAACAGUUAAAACAGUUUAAGACGCCGCAUUUGCCAUUGUCUACAAGUCAAACUCGGUUUGACCCAGUCAGACUGUAAGUCUAUUAUUACGUACGUAUACCCGUUCACCCCCUAAGGUUACAGUUCUUCGUUCGCCAUAAAAAUGGGAGGGAUGUGAGAAAUAUCAUUUCCAUCUGCUCUGAGCGGCUAAUCGGCGACACUCAUUAUUUCCAGCGACGGGAAGCGCCCCGUCAGUCGGCCCGGAGGCCAAGGCCGCCCAACCGGCGGCGGCUCGCUCGGCUCCUAUCUCGCUGACCUCCACCGUUCGCCCACACCAAAAACACUCGGCGAGGGUUAGAUCGUGAAAAAUGGGUUGACGACACACCAAGGGCAAACGACUGUCGGAGAGGUAUAAAACGGGCGCCAGACGCAGCAGCGACACACUCACACAGUCCACACCACACUCAACAACAUCCACUCUCCAACACUCCACUCAACAUGCACAACCUGCCCGCCAUCAUGACGCUGACCAGGGAGCCGAUUGGCUCGGCUUGGCGGCAGCAGGCUGUUCUUUCGGCACUCUUCCGGCCUCUCCAAUAUCGGCAUACUCGAGUGCGAUAGCAACUCGAGUGGGACUGAUUUUCGGUCUUCUUUCGACACUCUUCCGUCUUCUUCGAUAUCAGCCUGUGCUAAUGCAACGGCUAUUCGUGCAGGACUGAUUUUCGGCCUUGUCUCGUUUAAUGACUCGAUCGCUUCCUUUUGACAUUUUGGUUUCGACCUCAUCUUUUGGCUCAUUUCAAUAUAUCUACUUUUUGUUCA
Amphibalanus amphitrite is the source of this 1396-nucleotide long non-coding RNA. RefSeq lists it as uncharacterized. Lineage: Eukaryota; Metazoa; Arthropoda; Thecostraca; Balanomorpha; Balanidae. The record is from RefSeq and is a predicted model, not a curated record. The transcript is spliced from 2 exons.